UUUGUACACCGACACCGUCCCAAAAUUCUUGUCUUAGAUUUUUCUAGAUGUAGAUGAAUCUAAUACUAAAACAUGAAUUGAUACAUUCGUAUUUGGACAAAUCUAAGACAAGAAUUUUGGGACGGAGGGAGUACAUU
Triticum aestivum (bread wheat) is the source of this 137-nucleotide non-coding RNA. The record is from Rfam. Lineage: Eukaryota; Viridiplantae; Streptophyta; Magnoliopsida; Poales; Poaceae.